Molecule: ribosomal RNA, 491 nt
Filed under: Lasiodiplodia theobromae
Lineage: Eukaryota; Fungi; Ascomycota; Dothideomycetes; Botryosphaeriales; Botryosphaeriaceae
Description: eukaryotic LSU rRNA
Rfam family: 5.8S ribosomal RNA (bases 130-283)
Source: RNAcentral
UUUAGCGCUUCGGCUCGAUCUCCCACCCUUUGUGACGUACCUCUGUUGCUUUGGCGGCUCCGGCCGCCAAAGGACCUCCAAACUCCAGUCAGUAAACGCAGACGUCUGAUAAACAAGUUAAUAAACUAAAACUUUCAACAACGGAUCUCUUGGUUCUGGCAUCGAUGAAGAACGCAGCGAAAUGCGAUAAGUAAUGUGAAUUGCAGAAUUCAGUGAAUCAUCGAAUCUUUGAACGCACAUUGCGCCCCUUGGUAUUCCGGGGGGCAUGCCUGUUCGAGCGUCAUUACAACCCUCAAGCUCUGCUUGGAAUUGGGCACCGUCCUCACUGCGGACGCGCCUCAUAGACCUCGGCGGUGGCUGUUCAGCCCUCAAGCGUAGUAGAAUACACCUCGCUUUGGAGUGGUUGGCGUCGCCCGCCGGACGAACCUUCUGAACUUUUCUCAAGGUUGACCUCGGAUCAGGUAGGGAUACCCGCUGAACUUAAGCAUAUC